GCAUCGAUGGUUCAGUGGUAGAAUGCUCGCCUGUCAUGCGGGCGACCCGGGUUCGACUCCCGCCCGAUGCA
Non-coding RNA from Heligmosomoides polygyrus, 71 nucleotides. NCBI's taxonomy places the organism in Eukaryota, Metazoa, Nematoda, Chromadorea, Rhabditida, Heligmosomidae. The record is from Rfam.